This 498-nucleotide ribosomal RNA is filed under the name uncultured bacterium. RNAcentral describes it as "bacterial SSU rRNA". It matches the Rfam family "Bacterial small subunit ribosomal RNA", at positions 8 to 507 of the family's 1533-position model. The record is from RNAcentral.
AGAGUUUGAUCAUGGCUCAGGAUGAACGCUAGCGGCAGGCCUAAUACAUGCAAGUCGAACGGUAAGGCCUUUCGGGGGUACACGAGUGGCGGACGGGUGCGUAACGCGUAUGCAACAUACCUUCAAGCGGGGGAUAUGCCAGGGAAACUUGGUGCAACACCCCAUAGCAUUUCGGGACCGCAUGGUCUUGGGAUUAAAUAUUUAUAGCUUGGAGAUUGGCAUGCGUGACAUUAGCUAGUUGGCGGGGUAACGGCCCACCAAGGCGACGAUGUCUAGCUGGUCUGAGAGGAUGAUCAGCCACACUGGGACUGAGACACGGCCCAGACUCCUACGGGAGGCAGCAGUAGGGAAUAUUGGACAAUGGGGGGAACCCUGAUCCAGCCAUGCCGCGUGAGGGAAGAAGGUCCUCUGGAUUGUAAACCUCUUUUGGCGGGGGACAAACCUGCACUAUACGUGCAGCUGAGGGUACCCGCAGAAUAAGCACCGGCUAACUCCGUG